RNAcentral lists this long non-coding RNA (916 nucleotides) under Oncorhynchus kisutch (coho salmon). RNAcentral's name for it is "lncRNA (ENSOKIG00005018472.1)". The record is from RNAcentral. Lineage: Eukaryota; Metazoa; Chordata; Actinopteri; Salmoniformes; Salmonidae.
CUGGCUUCAAUACUGCCACAGGCAGUGCACUUGUUUUUGGUCGCAGGUUCAAAUUCGGCUUGAAAUAAAGAUACCUAUUUCUGUGGUAGUCCAAAUAUCAAUGAAGUGAUUUCAUUGGUGGAGCCAGAAAUUAGCCUUGCUGUCACAUGAUUCACUAUUGACAGUUUUGCCGCGAACAUCAGUAGCUAGUUAGCUACAUGACUUUCUUUAGAGAAGGUUAAAUCUCUGACUUCUCUAGCUACUUGGCUAGCCUUGAUCGUUUUGUUUGUAAUAACAUUAUUUAGCGGCAGUUAGUUAUUUAAGACAAUGUUAACCUAUUCAUUUUGACCCAUUAUCUGGCAGUUUAAAUAAAACUAGUAAAUUAUCUCCGGUGACAGUCAGCUAGCUACGCUAAAGUUAGCUAAAGUUAGCUAGCAACCGCGGGAGGAAAGGCAAGAAGGGUGAAAUGACGAGCGUGGACGUGAUUUAUGAAAAGAUUCACUUCAGGCACGAUCCGAAAUGGUCUGUUCGUGUUCGCAUGGGUCACCCGGACCAGGGCGGCUUGAUGAUCUGCGUCGCUUGUGUCAUUGAGAUGAUGGAAAGCAAAAACGUUGCGUCUGUGAGAAAGUCUGUGGCGCUAUCAGGGAUCAGUGGGAUCCUGAAGAGCUGUCCUGGGGCUCUGAAGGAGCUGCUACUGCAGGACCACAGGGUCUGUCUGCAUUUCACAGCAUCUUUACUGGGUAAGAAAGAUACACACGCACACACACACACACACACACACACACACACACACACACACACACACACACACACACAAUCAAACAAAGCCUGGCUUUAUCUAUACCAUUAUUUGACUGUUUUCCGUACAGGGAUGCUUCACACAGUAGAGGACCCAGCCACUCUGGAGCAGGCCAUACAGGGUAAGAGGAAAGCUUAA